Molecule: ribosomal RNA, 467 nt
Filed under: uncultured bacterium
Lineage: Bacteria
Description: partial 16S ribosomal RNA
Rfam family: Bacterial small subunit ribosomal RNA
Source: RNAcentral
GACGAACGCUGGCGGCGUGCUUAACACAUGCAAGUCGAACGGAAAGGCCUCUUUCGGGGGGUACUCGAGUGGCGAACGGGUGAGUAACACGUGAGUAACCUGCCCUUGACUUUGGGAUAACUUCAGGAAACUGGGGCUAAUACCGGAUAGGAGCUCCUGCUGCAUGGUGGGGGUUGGAAAGUUUCGGCGGUUGGGGAUGGACUCGCGGCUUAUCAGCUUGUUGGUGGGGUAGUGGCUUACCAAGGCUUUGACGGGUAGCCGGCCUGAGAGGGUGACCGGCCACAUUGGGACUGAGAUACGGCCCAGACUCCUACGGGAGGCAGCAGUGGGGAAUAUUGCACAAUGGGUGGAAGCCUGAUGCAGCAACGCCGUGUGCGGGAUGACGGCCUUCGGGGUGUAAACCGCUUUCGCUCAUGACGAAGCUUUGUGUGACGGUAGUGGGUAAAGAAGCACCGGCUAACUACGUG